GAACCAUCAGAACGACUCUCAACCUGCAUGAUUAAGAUGCAUAUCAGACAGGUUUCUGCUCUGACUGAGAUCACCCAGCGGUGGAACAAGGCAAAGUCGAGUGAAAACCCCGAGAUCCCUGCCAUCCUGACCAAAGACUCCGCGGCAACAAACUGUCCAGCUGUGUGUAUGCUCACGUCACUCCGUCAGGCACUGCUCUUGAAGAAAGUUUACGUUCUUGUUGUCUGAUUUGUCCAACAAACGACGACGAAACGGACGUUUUCCUACCACACCCAAUGUGCCGCUUCACUCUGCUACUGAAGGAUCAGGCUGACUGCAACUGCUAUGGAUGGCAGGAAAACACAGUACACGUGAAUUUCUAGAUGAAGAGUGAAUAAAUGCACUUGCUUAACUGAUAA
This is a long non-coding RNA of Alosa sapidissima (American shad), 398 nucleotides long. RefSeq lists it as uncharacterized. The transcript has 4 exons. NCBI's taxonomy places the organism in Eukaryota, Metazoa, Chordata, Actinopteri, Clupeiformes, Clupeidae. The record is from RefSeq and is a predicted model, not a curated record.